GGCAUUCCUCUUCACGGCUCAACAAUAUCCCCUGCAUGGAGGCGCCCCUCGUGUUAUUUGUCAUCUCCUGAUGGGCACUUGGGCUGUUCCUACCUUUUGGCCAUUGUGACUGGUGCUGCUGUGAAUGCCUGUGCACCAGAAUCUUUCCUAGUCCUUCCUCUCAGGGGGCCAGGCUUCUGCCCUCCCCUCCGUCCUGCUCCCCGUGUCAGUCUGUUUUGGUCACUGGCUGUGGCCUGGGAGACACUCCCACUUGGAUGAAGGCAGUCACCCCCGGCGGUGCUCAGGGUGGAAGGGGGCCAGCAGGGGAAUCCGGGUGGUGCCAGGAGUGCCCUGCAUCUCCCCGUUCCUCCUGCCUUCCCUGCUUUGCUACCCCCAGUACUUCUCACCUUCUGACACCCCCGGCAUGUGCUGACUUCUUGGGCUUCUUGUCUACUUCCCCCUAGAAAGCACCCAAGGCCUGGGGCUGUGCCUGUUUUGUCACGGCUGGACCCACCCUUCCUGAUACACAGUCAGGCUCAACAAAUAUGCAUGGGAUGAAUGACUAGCACGCGCGCACACACGAUCUCUUGGAAUUCUCGCCGAAACUGUGAUGUCACUGCUGCCGUCAUCCCCAUUCUACAGAGAAGGAAAUGGAGGCUCAGGAACGUUGAGUGAAUUCCCCAAGGUCACAGAGCUUGCGAGCGGCAGAGCAGAGACAGGGGUGCAGAGCUGCCCCACGCCUAGCACUUCCCAGCCGGAAGGCUUGGCCUGUCUACAUGAUGAGCUGGACACCUGUCAAACACAUGUCACUCACACUAAUUCGACUCUGCGUCUUUGGAGAGAGAGAAACUUCGAUACCCAGCCAAUGGCCAGGCCAUUGCGCUCAACUAGUGAGGGUGAGGACCUAAGUGUGCAGUUUCCACAAUUGCGUCCCUUCUCUCGUGCCCCUCUUUUUUAUAAUAAAAAAUAAUUUUAAAUCCCAGCACUUUGGGAGGUUGAGGCAAGUGAUCUUCCCACCUGUCAGCCUCCCAAAGUGCUGGGACUACAGGCUUGAGCUACCGCACCCAGCUAAUUCACGCCCCUCUUAAUGCGAGCAUCUCAACACGCUGACGGAGACCCUAGCUGCCAAAGUUACACAUUGA
This 1121-nucleotide long non-coding RNA is filed under the name Homo sapiens (human). RNAcentral's name for it is "HSALNT0371163". Lineage: Eukaryota; Metazoa; Chordata; Mammalia; Primates; Hominidae. The record is from RNAcentral.